Saccostrea cuccullata (small rock oyster) is the source of this 484-nucleotide long non-coding RNA. RefSeq lists it as uncharacterized. The transcript is spliced from 3 exons. The record is from RefSeq and is a predicted model, not a curated record. Lineage: Eukaryota; Metazoa; Mollusca; Bivalvia; Ostreida; Ostreidae.
AUCAGUCAGUCAAAUCUAUAGCAGCAUCAAUCAGUCAAAUCUAUAGCAGUAUCAUCAUUCAGUAAAAUCUAUAGCAGCAUCAGUCAUCAGUCAAAUCUAUAGCAGCAUCAAUCAGUCAAAUCUAUAGCAGUAUCAUCAUUCAGUAAAAUCUAUAGCAGCAUCAGUCAUCAAAUCUAUAGCAGCAUCAGUCAGUCAAUUGCUUCCCCUUGUACAGUUAUUGUCCAAUUCUUAUAAAAUUUGGCACUUAAGUUAGCUGGCUUAUUGGUCUGAAUUACUACUCUGGAAUUGCUAUACUGUGGAAUGACAGUGAAAUUUAUGGGAGUCAAAGUUCAUGUGCAAGCUAAGUUUUACUAGAACAAAUGAAUUACUGAUGUUGACAAAUUGAAAAGCUGGUUUAGAAAAAGUUAAUUGAGCUCUUUUAGUAUUAGUUGAAUUUGACAAUGGAUAUUUUUUUUACAAAAGAUUUUUGAUAAGAUAAAAAAGG